CAGUAGGGAGGAAGGUAGUGUAGUUAACACCUGCAUUAUUUGACGUUACCUACAGAAGAAGCACCGGCUAACUCCGUGCCAGCAGCCGCGGUAAUACGGAGGGUGCGAGCGUUAAUCGGAAUUACUGGGCGUAAAAGCGCAUGCAGGCGGCCUGUUAAGUCAGAUGUGAAAAGCCCGGGCUUAAACCUCGGAAAUUGCAUUUUGAAAAACUGGCAGACUAGAGUACUGUAGGAGGGGGUAGAAUUUCAGGUGUAGCGGUGAAAAUGCGUAGAGAUCUGAAGGAAUACCGGUGGCGAAGGCGGCCCCUGGACAGAUACUGACACUCAGAUGCGAAAGCGUGGGGAGCAAACAGGAUUAGAUACCCUGGUAG
This 370-nucleotide ribosomal RNA is filed under the name uncultured bacterium. RNAcentral's name for it is "bacterial SSU rRNA". It matches the Rfam family "Bacterial small subunit ribosomal RNA", at positions 434 to 793 of the family's 1533-position model. The record is from RNAcentral.